UGGGGAAUAUUGGUCAAUGGACGCAAGUCUGAACCAGCCAUGCCGCGUGAAGGAUGAAGGUCCUCUGGAUUGUAAACUUCUUUUAUAUGGGAAGAAAUCCAUCUUUUCUUGGGUGGUUGACGGUACCAUAGGAAUAAGCACCGGCUAACUCCGUGCCAGCAGCCGCGGUAAUACGGAGGGUGCAAGCGUUAUCCGGAUUCACUGGGUUUAAAGGGUGCGUAGGAGGGCAGGUAAGUCAGUGGUGAAAUCUCCAAGCUUAACUUGGAAACUGCCGUUGAUACUAUCUGUCUUGAAUACCGUGGAGAUGAGCGGAAUAUGUCAUGUAGCGGUGAAAUGCUUAGAUAUGACAUAGAACACCAAUUGCGAAGGCAGCUCGUUACACGAAUAUUGACUCUGAGGCACGAAAGCGUGGGGAUCAAACA
This 422-nucleotide ribosomal RNA is filed under the name uncultured Flavisolibacter sp. RNAcentral's name for it is "bacterial SSU rRNA". It matches the Rfam family "Bacterial small subunit ribosomal RNA", at positions 355 to 774 of the family's 1533-position model. The record is from RNAcentral. Lineage: Bacteria; Pseudomonadati; Bacteroidota; Chitinophagia; Chitinophagales; Chitinophagaceae.